GACGGAGGGUGCAAGCGGUGUUCGGAAUCACUGGGCGUAAAGCGCGUGUAGGCGGUUUGAUAAGUCGAAUGUGAAAGCCCGAGGCUCAACCUCGGAAGUGCAUUCGAAACUGUCAGGCUUGAGUACGGGAGAGGGAAGUGGAAUUCCUGGUGUAGAGGUGAAAUUCGUAGAUAUCAGGAGGAACACCGGUGGCGAAGGCGGCUUCCUGGACCGAUACUGACGCUGAGACGCGAAAGCGUGGGGAGCAAACAGG
Molecule: ribosomal RNA, 253 nt
Filed under: uncultured bacterium
Lineage: Bacteria
Description: partial 16S ribosomal RNA
Rfam family: Bacterial small subunit ribosomal RNA
Source: RNAcentral